Molecule: small nucleolar RNA, 137 nt
Filed under: Chinchilla lanigera (long-tailed chinchilla)
Lineage: Eukaryota; Metazoa; Chordata; Mammalia; Rodentia; Chinchillidae
Source: RNAcentral
UUGGCCCUGAAUCAAGGCCAACAGUUUGCUGUAGCUGCUGGUUUCAAACAGGAGCCUAAAGAGAAGUCUUUCUGUGGUCUGUUGGCCAUUUCAGAACUUUGGAAAUGUAAUGGCCAAUUCAUUAGAAAGAAACAGCU